This 73-nucleotide transfer RNA is filed under the name Rhodopirellula baltica SH 1. It matches the Rfam family "tRNA". From Rfam's summary of the family: Transfer RNA (tRNA) molecules are approximately 80 nucleotides in length. Their secondary structure includes four short double-helical elements and three loops (D, anti-codon, and T loops). Lineage: Bacteria; Pseudomonadati; Planctomycetota; Planctomycetia; Pirellulales; Pirellulaceae. The record is from Rfam by way of RNAcentral.
CGGCGUGUAGCUCAAGGGUGAGAGCGGCGUCCUUAUAAAGCGACCGUUGCGGGUUCGAUUCCCGCCACGCCGA